GACGAACGCUGGCGGCGUGCCUAACACAUGCAAGUCGAACGGAAAGGCCCUGCUCUUGUGGGGUGCUCGAGUGGCGAACGGGUGAGUAACACGCGAGUAACCUGCCCUUGACUUUGGGAUAACUUCAGGAAACUGGGGCUAAUACCGGAUAGGAGCUCCCGCUGCACGGUGGGGGUUGGAAAGUUUCGGCGGUUGGGGAUGGACUCGCGGCUUAUCAGCUUGUUGGUGGGGUAGUGGCUUACCAAGGCUUUGACGGGUAGCCGGCCUGAGAGGGUGACCGGCCACAUUGGGACUGAGGUACGGCCCAGACUCCUACGGGAGGCAGCAGUGGGGAGUAUUGCACAAUGGGCGGAAGCCAGAUGCAGCAACGCCGCGUGCGGAAAGACGGCCUUCGGGUUGUAAACCGCUUUCGCCUGUGACGAGGCGUGAGUGACGGUAAUGGGUAAAGAAGCACCGGCUAACUACGUG
Molecule: ribosomal RNA, 468 nt
Filed under: uncultured bacterium
Lineage: Bacteria
Description: partial 16S ribosomal RNA
Rfam family: Bacterial small subunit ribosomal RNA
Source: RNAcentral